RNAcentral lists this ribosomal RNA (462 nucleotides) under uncultured bacterium. RNAcentral's name for it is "bacterial SSU rRNA". It matches the Rfam family "Bacterial small subunit ribosomal RNA", at positions 1 to 507 of the family's 1533-position model. The record is from RNAcentral.
CAGUAGUCACGAGUUUGCUCAUGGCUCAGAACGAACGCUGGCGGCAUGCCUAACACAUGCAAGUCGAACGAACCCUUCGGGGUUAGUGGCGCACGGGUGCGUAACGCGUGGGAAUCUGCCCUGGGGUGCGGAAUAACUCGGAGAAAUCCGUGCUAAUACCGCAUAAUGUCUUCGGACCAAAGAUUUAUCGCCCUGGGAUGAGCCCGCGUUGGAUUAGCUAGUUGGUAGGGUAAAAGCCUACCAAGGCGACGAUCCAUAGCUGGUCUGAGAGGAUGAUCAGCCACACUGGGACUGAGACACGGCCCAGACUCCUACGGGAGGCAGCAGUGGGGAAUAUUGGACAAUGGGCGAAAGCCUGAUCCAGCAAUGCCGCGUGAGUGAUGAAGGCCCUAGGGUUGUAAAGCUCUUUUACCAGGGAUGAUAAUGACAGUACCUGGAGAAUAAGCUCCGGCUAACUCCGUG